Molecule: transfer RNA, 36 nt
Filed under: Angiopteris evecta
Lineage: Eukaryota; Viridiplantae; Streptophyta; Polypodiopsida; Marattiales; Marattiaceae
Description: tRNA-Ala
Source: RNAcentral
UGGCGGAUGUCAGCGGUUCAAAUCCGCUUGUCUCCA